Molecule: small nuclear RNA, 104 nt
Organism: Physeter macrocephalus (sperm whale)
Lineage: Eukaryota; Metazoa; Chordata; Mammalia; Artiodactyla; Physeteridae
Source: Ensembl
GUGCUCGCUUCAGCAGCGCAUAAACUCAAAUUGGAAUGAUACAGAGAUUAGCAUGGCCCCUGUGCAAGGAUGACACAUAAAUUCGUGAAGUGUUCUAUAUUUAA